UUAAGUGACUAAGCGUACACGGUGGAUGCCUGGGCAGUCAGAGGCGAUGAAGGACGUACUAACUUGCGAUAAGCGCAGAUAAGGCAGUAAGAGCCGUUUGAGUCUGCGAUUUCCGAAUGGGGAAACCCAACUGCAUAAGCAGUUACUGUUAACUGAAUACAUAGGUUAACAGAGCAAACCGGGGGAACUGAAACAUCUAAGUACCCCGAGGAGAAGAAAUCAACCGAGAUUCCGGUAGUAGCGGCGAGCGAACCUGGAUUAGCCCUUAAGCACUCGGUGAAGUAGGUGAACAAGCUGGAAAGCUUGGCGAUACAGGGUGAUAGCCCCGUAACCGACGCUUCAUCGAGCGUGAAAUCGAGUAGGGCGGGACACGUGAUAUCCUGUCUGAAUAUGGGGGGACCAUCCUCCAAGGCUAAAUACUCCUGACUGACCGAUAGUGAACCAGUACCGUGAGGGAAAGGCGAAAAGAACCCCUGUGAGGGGAGUGAAAUAGAACCUGAAACCGUGUACGUACAAGCAGUAGGAGCACCUUCGUGGUGUGACUGCGUACCUUUUGUAUAAUGGGUCAGCGACUUAUAUUCAGUGGCAAGGUUAACCGUAUAGGGGAGCCGUAGCGAAAGCGAGUCUUAACUGGGCGCUCAGUCUCUGGAUAUAGACCCGAAACCGGGUGAUCUAGCCAUGGGCAGGUUGAAGGUUGAGUAACAUCAACUGGAGGACCGAACCGACUAAUGUUGAAAAAUUAGCGGAUGACUUGUGGCUAGGGGUGAAAGGCCAAUCAAACUCGGAGAUAGCUGGUUCUCCCCGAAAGCUAUUUAGGUAGCGCCUCGGACGAAUACUACUGGGGGUAGAGCACUGUUAAGGCUAGGGGGUCAUCCCGACUUACCAACCCUUUGCAAACUCCGAAUACCAGUAAGUACUAUCCGGGAGACACACGGCGGGUGCUAACGUCCGUCGUGGAGAGGGAAACAACCCAGACCGCCAGCUAAGGUCCCAAAGUAUUGCUAAGUGGGAAACGAUGUGGGAAGGCUCAGACAGCUAGGAUGUUGGCUUAGAAGCAGCCAUCAUUUAAAGAAAGCGUAAUAGCUCACUAGUCGAGUCGGCCUGCGCGGAAGAUGUAACGGGGCUAAGCAAUACACCGAAGCUGCGGCAAUGUCUUUUAGACAUUGGGUAGGGGAGCGUUCUGUAAGCCGUUGAAGGUGAAUCGUAAGGUUUGCUGGAGGUAUCAGAAGUGCGAAUGCUGACAUGAGUAACGACAAAGGGGGUGAAAAACCUCCUCGCCGGAAGACCAAGGGUUCCUGUCCAACGUUAAUCGGGGCAGGGUGAGUCGACCCCUAAGGUGAGGCCGAAAGGCGUAAUCGAUGGGAAACGGGUUAAUAUUCCCGUACUUCUGACUAUUGCGAUGGGGGGACGGAGAAGGCUAGGUGGGCCAGGCGACGGUUGUCCUGGUUCAAGUGCGUAGGCUUGAGAGUUAGGUAAAUCCGGCUCUCUCUAAGGCUGAGACACGACGUCGAGCUACUACGGUAGUGAAGUCAUUGAUGCCAUGCUUCCAGGAAAAGCCUCUAAGCUUCAGAUAGUCAGGAAUCGUACCCCAAACCGACACAGGUGGUCGGGUAGAGAAUACCAAGGCGCUUGAGAGAACUCGGGUGAAGGAACUAGGCAAAAUGGUACCGUAACUUCGGGAGAAGGUACGCUCUUGAUGGUGAAGUCCCUCGCGGAUGGAGCUGACGAGAGUCGCAGAUACCAGGUGGCUGCAACUGUUUAUUAAAAACACAGCACUGUGCAAAAUCGCAAGAUGACGUAUACGGUGUGACGCCUGCCCGGUGCCGGAAGGUUAAUUGAUGGGGUUAGCGCAAGCGAAGCUCUUGAUCGAAGCCCCGGUAAACGGCGGCCGUAACUAUAACGGUCCUAAGGUAGCGAAAUUCCUUGUCGGGUAAGUUCCGACCUGCACG
This 1949-nucleotide ribosomal RNA is filed under the name Vibrio cholerae. RNAcentral describes it as "bacterial LSU rRNA". It matches the Rfam family "Bacterial large subunit ribosomal RNA", at positions 1 to 1994 of the family's 2925-position model. The record is from RNAcentral. Lineage: Bacteria; Pseudomonadati; Pseudomonadota; Gammaproteobacteria; Vibrionales; Vibrionaceae.